This 244-nucleotide ribosomal RNA is filed under the name uncultured bacterium. RNAcentral's name for it is "partial small subunit ribosomal RNA". It matches the Rfam family "Bacterial small subunit ribosomal RNA", at positions 26 to 285 of the family's 1533-position model. The record is from RNAcentral.
AGAAUCAACGCUGGCGGCGUGCCUAACACAUGCAAGUCGAACGAGAAAGUGGAGCAAUCCAUGAGUAAAGUGGCGACCGGGUGAGUAACACGUGACUAACCUACCUUCGAGUGGGGGAUAACCCCGGGAAACCGGGGCUAAUACCGCAUAACAUCGCAAGAUCAAAGCAGCAAUGCGCUGGAAGAGGGGGUCGCGGCUGAUUAGCUAGUUGGCGGGGUAACGCCCACCAAGGCGAAGAUCGGUA